AAAUUGAAGAGUUUGAUCAUGGCUCAGAUUGAACGCUGGCGGCAGGCCUAACACAUGCAAGUCGAACGGUAACAGGAAACAGCUUGCUGUUUCGCUGACGAGUGGCGGACGGGUGAGUAAUGUCUGGGAAAGUGCCUGAUGGAGGGGGAUAACUACUGGAAACGGUAGCUAAUACCGCAUAAUGUCGCAAGACCAAAGAGGGGGACCUUCGGGCCUCUUGCCAUCGGAUGUGCCCAGAUGGGAUUAGCU
This 249-nucleotide ribosomal RNA is filed under the name Escherichia coli. Its description in RNAcentral is "partial 16S ribosomal RNA". It matches the Rfam family "Bacterial small subunit ribosomal RNA", at positions 1 to 246 of the family's 1533-position model. Lineage: Bacteria; Pseudomonadati; Pseudomonadota; Gammaproteobacteria; Enterobacterales; Enterobacteriaceae. The record is from RNAcentral.